Molecule: non-coding RNA, 1565 nt
Organism: Nomia melanderi (Alkali bee)
Lineage: Eukaryota; Metazoa; Arthropoda; Insecta; Hymenoptera; Halictidae
Source: RefSeq, a predicted model, not a curated record
UUUGUUAUUGGCCGAGCCGCGAGCUGAGGUGGAGCGUCUGGCCGAAUCCCCUUGCCCCUCUUCACUUUUGAGCCAAAGAUCGACAGAGAUCAUGUCAGUAACGCACUGCACCUGUAUAUAUUUCAUACUGAAAUAUAGAGUAAUAUGUAUUACGUUUGAAAAAUGGUCACUUUGUGGUACUUUAGCACAGAUGUAUCUACAUGAUCUCGUCCAGUAUGUGCCAGAUUAUUCCGCAGGAGUGAAAAGUGGAACAGUAAACUGACUCCGUUGACCACCACUAACUUUAAGUGCAAGCGUUCAUCUUUUGGAACAUACAAUGAUAAAUCCGUCGACGCGAAACGUGGUUAUAUAGGAGUAUACACUGACCACUUGAAUGCUGAACUUCAUUUACCAAGAGCUACUUUGAUACUCGAGAAUGCUGUUACGUGGUAGAUACGAUGAGGUCAAUUCAUGUUAUUCCUGAUGCUCUAGCGUUAGGUUAGUACGCGUGAAUUGUCAUCAUUCCAUAGUCUAAUGUAUUCGAAGUCACACUACACGAUUACAGAAAAAGUCCACUAAUGCUUUCUUCAAAUUAACAAUCCUUUCUAAUCUAAAGGUCAACCCUUUUCAAUUUACCUUCUAAUUGCCAACUUAAAGGAAGUAGGAUAAUCAAUUAGAAACGUUUCAUUAACGUUUCAUUUUCAUCGUAUACAAAUUUGGCCUCUGCUCUAAUUCUGUUCUAAAACGAUAUGAAAAUGGUAAAGUUCAUAAAGGUUUUCAUUUUCAUAAUUAAUAUUAAUCUAAAAGUUAUACUACACGUCGUUUCCUCGGAUUAUUUAUUAAAAAACAAUUUUUAUAGCUCCCUUUUUUGCAAUUGAAGAAAAGGGUCAAGCUUCUGUGCCAGAUUCAAAGAAUAUUCCACACUAUACAAGGAAUAAGUGACAUUAAACUUUCCUUCUUGUUUACGUUGUUAUUGUCAUGUAUAGUUUAGUUCUUGUUGUAUAUUUCUAAGUUGUUGAUAAUAUAAAUCAGCAUCAACAAUUGUGUUUAGAAAUGAUAACUCUCUGAUAGACUAUUUACACGAACAGAAUGGCGAACGUUUCAUUGAGCGAAUUGAGUCUAUAGCAUCUUUAAUGAAAUACCUUAAUGGAAUUAGCCUUUGGCCCCAGAUGCAGAUGAAGUGUGAACAACACUAUCACCAACAGCAGUGCUCGGAUCAACCAGUACCCGCAAAAACUAUGCCUUGCAAGAAGUGGUCGAAUAAGCAGGUAGGGAUUUGAUGAAUUCCCAAUAAUCCCAGUUCAAGACUUGAUAAAUAAGAAAAAAGUAUAAAGAAUAUAAAAGAUAAUACAUUGCUGAGGGAAAAGUGGAAGAUUUCUCCAUUCGAUUGGCUAAGUGUUAGUUGCCAACUGAAUAUACUGUAAAUCAUUGAACACGAGUAAUUAUUUAAGAUUCAUAAAAGAAAUAUAUAAUUCCACUUUGUUCAUACAUGUCCAUAAAAGAAAUAUAUAAUUCCGCUACUUCUUAAUUAAAUUUAAUUAAUCUCUAAUACCACUUUACUCGACAAUGAGAAUUCAAGCAAGGAA